GAUGAACGCUGGCGGCGUGCCUAAUACAUGCAAGUCGAGCGAACGGACGAGAGGCUUGCUUUUCUGAUGUUAGCGGCGGACGGGUGAGUAACACGUGGAUAACCUACCUAUAAGACUGGGAUAACUUCGGGAAACCGGAGCUAAUACCGGAUGAUAUUUUGAACCGCAUGGUUCAAAAGUGAAAGACGGUCUUGCUGUCACUUAUAGAUGGAUCCGCGCUGCAUUAGCUAGUUGGUAAGGUAACGGCUUACCAAGGCAACGAUGCAUAGCCGACCUGAGAGGGUGAUCGGCCACACUGGAACUGAGACACGGUCCAGACUCCUACGGGAGGCAGCAGUAGGGAAUCUUCCGCAAUGGGCGAAAGCCUGACGGAGCAACGCCGCGUGAGUGAUGAAGGUCUUCGGAUCGUAAAACUCUGUUAUUAGGGAAGAACAUAUGUGUAAGUAACUGUGCACAUCUUGACGGUACCUAAUCAGAAAGCCACGGCUAACUACGUG
RNAcentral lists this ribosomal RNA (497 nucleotides) under uncultured bacterium. RNAcentral's name for it is "partial 16S ribosomal RNA". It matches the Rfam family "Bacterial small subunit ribosomal RNA", at positions 28 to 507 of the family's 1533-position model. The record is from RNAcentral.